GCCGUUUUGUGAGCCCGCCACCGCAGUUCCAUGUCCAACAUUACUCAGAGAGCCGGUAUCUGCAGGAGCUUUUUGGACUGACUAUACUCUCUGACAUCGUACACGAGGCCUGAGCAACUCAAGGCCCUCGCUCACCAGGAGAUUAACCCGUCAGGCCGCUGAGUGAGAAGGGACGGAGCAGACCCC
Long non-coding RNA from Ailuropoda melanoleuca (giant panda), 186 nucleotides. RefSeq lists it as uncharacterized. Lineage: Eukaryota; Metazoa; Chordata; Mammalia; Carnivora; Ursidae. The transcript has 3 exons. The record is from RefSeq and is a predicted model, not a curated record.